This is a long non-coding RNA of Mus caroli (Ryukyu mouse), 334 nucleotides long. RefSeq lists it as uncharacterized. Lineage: Eukaryota; Metazoa; Chordata; Mammalia; Rodentia; Muridae. The record is from RefSeq and is a predicted model, not a curated record.
CAGUUAGUGUUCAUGCAAUGGCCACACACAGCAAGCCAGGCUGCAAGGACCCAGUGAAAAGCAGCUCCUGAGAUUCCAGGGACCAGCAGGAGGUGGUACCCAAAGCAUCCACUCCUGAGACCAACCCAGGGACCAGCAGGAUGUGGUACCCAAGGCAUCCUCAUCCCAACCACAGCAGAAGUUGAUUGACAGGUGGAAGGAGAGUGGGACAGAAGGCCAAACAGACAAGAGAAAGAAUCUGCCUCUCGGGGUGCUGAGGACUCAGUGGAGAAGGAAUGUGUCACACCUUGAGGGCCCCUGCAUGCUGCUGUGUAGAACCAGCGUGAUGCAAGUU